UUCGCCGUUGUUUUCUGACAACAAUACGCUGCCGCACAAUGGACCCAACUAUUUACCAACAAAUUAUUGCCUACAAAACAAAACAAGAAUACCCAAAUGGUAUUACGAAGAAGGAGAAGUACGUAUCGAGAAGAAAAGCUUCUUUUUACGACGUUGAUGUGGACCGUGGUUCAAAGCGCCGUCAGGUGAAACCGCUGGCUGCUUCUCUUCUUGAUGCCCUGGAUUAUAAUAGCUCAGAUGACAGUGACUUUGAAGUUGGAGAUGCCUCAGGAUCAGAUGGAACAGGCAAUGGCAGUGACGAGGAAGGUUCCAAACCAAGUGCCGCAGGUUCCGAAAGUGACUCAGACAAUGUGGUUUCGAUAGAUAUUGGUACUGAUGAAGGAGAGCCCAAACAUCUGAUUGCAGAGGAUAACGUGGCUGAAGAUGAAGAGAAGUCGAAACAGCAGAGCUCCUCAGAUGCCUCUGCUGUUAGUCUACCUAAAGGCAGACGAAAGAGCAAGAAGGUUUUGGAGCCUGAGUCCCGUGCAGAGGCUGGUAUUAUCUCAACCUUGGCAUCUGAGGCUGGGAGUGAUAAUGCUGACGUGUAUGAAACUGAGCCCAAAAAAUGGAACUUUCGCAGGAAUCGUCCACUUCUUGAUUUUACAACCAUGGAAGAGCUGAAUGAGAUAGAUGACUAUGAUAGUGAGGAUGACAAUGACUGGAGACCCACAGCGGGAAAGAAGAGAGGCAAGGCAGCAACCCAAAAAGGUGGUGGCACAGAUGAAGGAGACAGUGCCAUUGCAGAUGAUAAUGAUGGGGAUGAGGAUGAGGAUGAUGAUAAGGAUGACAAUGAUGAAGACGAUGAUGAUGAUGACGAUGUAGAUGAUGAUGGUGAGGAUGAGGAUGAUAAGGAAGAUGAUGAAGUAAACAACAGUAGCAGUGAGAGUGACAAGGAGGUGAAGAAACCCAAGAAAAAGGCUAAAAAUACCAAUGCUUUUGAUGAAGAAUUAACAAAUGACAGCAUGUCCCAAGGAAAAGGAAUUGAGGAUGCGUCGCUAGAUCGGUCCCAGACGUGGAAUGCCCAGCACAUCCUAAUCUGCUCAGUUUGCUUGGGAGACAAUAGUGAAGAUGCAGAUGAGAUAAUUCAGUGUGACAAUUGCGGUGUUACUGUGCAUGAAGGGUGUUACGGCGUUGAUGGCGAGAGUGAUUCUAUAAUGAGCUCAGCAUCAGAGAACUCAACAGAACCUUGGUUUUGUGAUGCCUGUAAGAAUGGAGUGAUGCCAAGCUGUGAGCUCUGCCCCAACCAGGAUGGUAUCUUCAAAGAGACAGAUGCCGGGAGAUGGGUGCAUGUGGUUUGUGCACUUUAUGUUCCUGGGGUUGCAUUUGGAGACAUCGAUAAACUCCGACCAGUGACUCUCACUGAGAUGAACUAUUCAAAAUAUGGGGCGAAGGAGUGCAGUUUCUGCGAAGAUCACCGCUUUGCCAGGACUGGUGUGUGCAUUAGCUGUGAUGCAGGGAUGUGUCGGUCCUACUUCCAUGUCACUUGUGCACAGAGAGAGGGGCUCCUGUCCGAAGCUGCUGCAGAAGAGGAUAUUGCAGAUCCAUUUUUUGCUUAUUGCAAGCAGCAUGCAGACCGCUUUGAUAGGAAGUGGAAAAGAAAAAACUACUUGGCUUUGCAGUCAUACUGUAAGGUGUCGGUGCUUGAGCGAGAGAAACAGCUCACUCCUGAAGCUCAGGGCCGGAUCACAACUCGCCUGCAACAAUACCGCACAAAAGCAGAGUUGUCCAGGAACACACGACCUCAAGCAUGGGUGCCAAGGGAGAAGCUGCCACGACCUCUGACCUCUAGUGCAUCAGCCAUCAGGAAGUUAAUGAGAAAGGCAGAGCUGAUGGGCAUCAGCACAGACAUUUUCCCGGUGGACACAUCUGACACCAAUGCAAGCAUGGAUGGCCGUCGGAAACACAAGCAGCCUGCACUCACGGCAGACUUUGUCAAUUAUUACUUAGAGCGUAAUUUGCGAAUGAUCCAGAUCCAGGACAACAUAUCUGAACAGAAGACCUUAAAAGACAAGCUGGAGAAUGAGCAAGACAAACUGCACGUGGAGUACAACAAGCUCUGUGAAUCUCUCGAAGAGCUGCUAAAUGUCAAUGGAGAUCUGCGAAGUGAAGGCCAAGCAAUGUGGACUCUACUUGGAGACAUCCUUGGCCAGAAACUAAACACUCCAGCUGUUUUAAAAGCCCCCAAAGAGAGGAAGUCUAGCAAAAAAGAGGGGGAAAUUCAAGGGAAACCGUCAAGCCUACCAGCAAUUCUUUACAGCUGCGGCAUCUGUAAGAAGAACCAAGACCAACAUCUCCUUGUGCUGUGUGACACCUGCAAACUUUACUACCAUUUGGGUUGUCUUGAACCACCACUGACACGCAUGCCCAAGAAGACCAAGAAUAGCUACUGGCAAUGCUCAGAGUGUGACCAGGCAAGCAGCGAUGAAGCUGAUAUUGCUAUGGAGACGCUACCUGACGGUACCAAGAGGUCCAGGAGGCAGAUUAAAGGGCCAAUUAAAUUCAUCCCGCAAGAGAUGUCACCAGAGCCCAAAAAAACUCAAGUUAGAGGCACGAGAACCAGAGGGCAGAAAAGAAAGAAUAUCCCUUUCUGUGAAGAGAGAGACGACAACAUAGAGGACUCACUACCAAGGGAGCGCAGACAGCGUCAAUCUGCUGUGUUAAAAAAAAACAAAGCAGAUGACACGAGGACUGAGUGUACAACCUGUAAAGGACCGGGUGACAAUGAAAAUCUUGUGAGGAGUUGAAUGACAGAAUUCACAACAGAUGAUUGAUCCAUGGUUUGACCAAUAAUAUUUCAGGUAUCACCACAUAUAUACCUUUCUGUGACUCCCAUAGAGUCCCUCUAUGUCUCUUUUGCAACCCCCUAAUGACAUUCUGUGACACUCUAAGGUUGUGAGAGCCGGGGCAGCCACCUCACCUGGCAUAAAAACAUGGAACCGACGACCAUUGGCUUAGAGAAAAACAAAAGCAAAGUUGAGAGGCCUUUGAAGAAAGACGGUUGAUACAGGCUGAACAACAAGAGAACAAGACCGCCCCCUACAGUCCACAAUGACCUCUGAUCCAAACUGGAUGAAUGGAAACUGUCAAUCUGAAAAACAGAAUUGCUUCGAGAUGAACUUACUUCAUUACUUAAAUUGAGCAACAAUAAUUAUGUGAUAAUAUUUUUUAAUGUGGAAUGCUAAGGCAAGACAUUAGUACGUUAUCGCUUUAGAUGUAGUAAUAAAAUCCGUACAAGUCUGAUGUAGAAACGUUAAUGAAAAGUGAUUGUUUUAUUAUUUUCCGUGGCACUACUGAUAACAGUUGACAGAUUUUAUGGAUUUAAAAAAAAAAAAAAAAAGAAAAGAUGUAUGUGUACCGGUAUUCAGUAACACUUGACAUUUGGAUAAAUCCAUUUAUUCAAUGCUGAGGAAUGAGCCUUUUGUUUUCAGAAAUGCCAGUGAAGUCCAUUUGUCAUGUUUUGUUCAAAGUUGGUGCCAGCAGCACAGUGAAGCAAUGGUUAGAAAAUUUGGUUGCUGGUCUUAAUAAGAUUUGACUCAAGAAGAGACUGUUAGCAAGAAAAGAGAUAGCUUCCAACUGUGAACUAGUACGGCGUACAGUACGGCAGCAUUUGUGGAAAACAUCAAUUUGCAUUAUUUCUGAUUAUGAAUAGCCUAAAUGAAUCAAUUAAGAGCUACAAGAAUGUGUGAAGGACGAAUCUGUUCGACCAACAGUGGUUUAUGUGACCCAUAUGAUAUCAGCUUGGCAUAGUACUUGUAAAGAUAGUUUACCAGGUACUAUUUGACAGAAAUUUGCAUGUGAAUAGAAAAGUGGCAUAACACAAAGUGCACCUACCAGUACCAAUAUUCUUUCUGGAGAAUCCUCGUCUCUCCAAGCGUUUGGGACUUGUAAUGUCCAUGGUGUUUACUGCUUUUGCGAACAACCAAUUGUUAUUGUCUUUAUAGAUCGGUGAUUCUUAACCUGGGUUUGAUCGAACCCUAGAGCAGUGGUUCUUAAUCUUGUUGGAGGUACUGAACCCCACCAGUACCAUAUGCGCAUUCACCGAACCCCUCUUUAGUGAAAAUCUUUUUUUUUCUUCAAAUUCAAGACAUCAAUAUUUACUACUGGUGCACAAAAUGAGCUGUGCAUGAACAUCACCUUGUUUGAAGAAAAAAACCAACACAAUGCAUGGACUCAAAACAAAUUACAUAACACCAGAUCAGUGUGACUUCUGCUGUUGCCUUUGCGAGACCAUUUCAGAUAUGCGUCAUCACAAAUUUACACAAUAAAUCAGGUAUGUUCGAACCUCCGCAGUGGAGGGACUCUACUGAACCCCUGAGACCGACUCACCGAACCUCUACGGCAGUGGUUCUUAACCUGGGAUCGAUCGAACCCUAGGGGUUCGGUGAGUCGGUCUCAGGGGUUCAGCUGAGAAUCCACUGCGGAAGUCCGAACGCACCUGAUUUAUUGUGUAAAUUCGUGAUGAUGCAUAUCUCGCAAAGACAACAGCAGAAGUGUCAGGUUUAUUUUGAUGACUGAAUAACUAUUAAGAGAAGAGCAACAGCAAACAGACCACAAGUGAGACAGAAUCUUAAGUCUUUUCUCGCGAGGAGUGCAGUACAGAUCCUUCACAACAAUCUCACUACACUAAUUAUCUGUAUGCACUCCUGUUCUUUUUAUUUGGAUUUGCCCUACCCACAAAAUGAGACAAGCCCUCUAAAAGGGGAGGAGGGAAGCACGUGGGCUUUGUCUCGUAAGAAGAAAAAUCACAAGGUGUUACAUACUGAUAUGGAACAGUGUGAGAAAGAGUACGAGUGAUCAGCAACCAUUCUUUGUGUCUGUGAUGAAUUCAGGAAACAUGAGUGAUCAGCGAUCAUUGUUUGUGUCUGUGAUGAAAUCAGGAAACAUGAGUGAUCAGCAAUCAUUCUUUGUUGAAAAGGAACUGUCUUGGUAGAUGUCUUCCUUUUGCUGUGUCACUGAGUUGCCAGCUCCGUCCUGUCUGACCCAGCUGUAAUCUCUCUUCUGUGGUACAUCAUAAAAACAGCAAGGCCAAACAGCAAGCAUAUAUUGCAGUAAUAUUGCGGUAAAGCAUUGAUUAGAGAACGCAUGAUAACAUAUAUAUACAUUUUUCUAACAAUUCCCUCCUGUUUAUCAUAAGUUCUCAGAGACCACCUUACCACCCAAAAGCGUCCAUUUCAAAAAGAUUUUCAGCCGUAGGAUCACAAUUCAUAAGAACAGAUUUACACCCGGGAGGAGAUUGAGCCUUAAUAAUCAAUGUCAGAGUCGGGAAACAAAUCGGACAGGUUUACCACAGGAGCUUCAAAGAUGGAGCCAUCGCUAGAGCGACAACCCUCGUCAGUCGCAAAGUCGUCCCCUUGGAGCAACGGAAAAGUCUCAGCUGCUGGAGAGAUAGCAAUUGUAAUUAAUCUGUUAAUUAGAGACCGGAGACACGGAAUACAACAACAUCCACACAAGGUCAAAACAGCAGAAAAAACGGCAAGGGCGACUAGGACCGAGGAAACCAGGGUACGGUACUGUCCGAACACGUUUAGCCAGUCGUUCCAAACCUCCGUGUUCACUCCACUGUGUUCCUUCAUUUUCCCAUUCAAGGUCCUCAGGCCCUCAAGGGCCUGGGACAGGCUUCCAUCAGCGGCAGUACCAUUUGGAAUGAAUGUGCAGCAUUGCUCACCAAACAUGGCGCAGACACCACCCUCUUUUGAGAGUAGCAUGUCAAAGUUCAUUCGGUUCUGGAAAGCCAUGAGGGAAGUCGCGGCCAGUUGGGAGUGAACCGCCCUGAAACCCGCCUCGGUCCAAUUUCCAAGCCUCUGCACGUGGUAAUGGAUGUAGUUGACCCUGUCGACAUUUUUGUUGAGAGUACACCACCAACACAGGGUGGAUUCAAAACCAGCUGCUAUCUGAUUCACCAGCUUACACUUAUCCGGUACUCCUCUGGGAACACCUAUUGCAUCAAUUUUGGUCAGAUCAUCGUCGGCUGUCAAAUUCAAAGAUAUUUUGGUUUCUGCCAGCUUUUUCUUUUUUCUUUUCUUGGGAUGUUGAUACAUAUACAAUUUAGCUUGACUACAUUCUCUGAAAGCAAUGGCUUCUUUUUUCUUUCUUCAAUGGAUAUUACUAUAAAGAAUGCUCUGUCACACAUUUCAUAAUCCAAUAGACGUGAUAGAUUUCCCACAAUCUUUGAUCAAUGGUGACAGUACAACAUAAAGCAAUGGUCACAAACCCAUACAUAUGACAUAUUAAAUUUUGUUUGUCUUUACAGCUUGUUUUGCCAUUAGCAAUAAAUUGUUUCGUUUAGCAGUUUACUAUAAUACUAGUUACCUGAAACAAAUUAUCCACAUUCACUUUAGAUAUAUUCAUCCCAUUCUUUAACAUCUACAGCGGUUGUUGACAAAGUACACAUAUAAACAUCAUACUUUCAUGGCAGUCCAGAUCUGACACAGCAGAUCAUCCUGAAAAGGUCAAAUUGAUCUUUUAAAUCGCUACAAUGCAGCAUAAUUUAUUUAUUUAUUUAUCUAUUUAUUUUUUUCUUUUUGAAAAUGUUUUGAAUAUGAAUCAAAUCCGUAUGUUGUAUAAAGCUGACUGACCAGCCCCACCAUCCCACCUCUUGAGCCAUGUGACACGCACUAUGGCUCAAUAUUGCUACCCAUUUGUAUAGGUUCCUCGGUAGGACAGGUCUGUCUUCUGGUCAUUUAUAGAUACCAUUCUCCACUCUUGCCCCUCUUUACGUCCAUAAUUGAAUUUCAGUCGAUGGACUUUGUCGCUGCACAUCUUUUUUUUAAAAAAAUUCCAGUAAUUCAAUCCGCUUCUUGUGUGUAUAAAAUUUGAAGCGUCUUUUGCACUGCAGCUAUGCGGUUCCGUCUGCAAGCUUGUUACCUCUUGACACCUUAUCAGUCUCGUGCGUGCCCUGCACACGUGCAUAUAGCUAUUUGUCGUGGCAAUUGGACUGCUUCCACAACUAGCUUAGUUGUAGUUUCUUGUAGUUUCUUUUCAAUCAGUUUCUCAUCGUUUAUCACAAGAAUCUUAGUAAUUUGAACAAAAAUCAAAAAGUAUAUUUUACUCAAUUGUACGAUUUAGAGAAUCCAUAUGUAGUAAAGUGUUGUAUUACUACAUAUGAUUUCAUCUCCAUUUAGUUUGACACACCUUUCAAAACGCUUCUCAGUGUCCCAGUGCACACAUGUUUUGCGUGUGUAACUGGUUGUCUCAACCCGUGUUCCACAUCCUAAUCUUUCCUCCCUCAAGGUGUCAAACCAAUCAAGAUAAAGAUAAAAAACAACAAAAUAACCGCCAGUAAAUUAAUAUAAUAGUCAAUUGUUGUUGUUUCUUAACUUUAACUAACUUAAACACUCUCUUAUCCUCAAAUGUAAAAACUUGUGUAGUCUUUACGUACACAACCAAUUGACUAUUUCUUCUAAAUUUAGCUUUGAAAUGUUGUUAUUUAAUAAUUUUGCUUCAUCCAAUUCCAGAAAGCAAGUUCUUUUGUUUUGCGGUGCAAAUCAGAUAGACUACAGUCUAGCAAAUUCUUUUGUGCACCUACAUUAGCCAAUUUUAACACAUAACACCGACAGCACACAGACAACACAAAAACUUACAGCAGAGACACAGCUCACAAACAAUACAAACAAACAACGCUGCGCAAACGUCAUCCUCUAUAUUGACGUUUUGGUUAUACUUUUGUUUUCUCAUCAGUGCCUUUUAUCCUUCAUGCAAAUAUUGUCACAUCUUCCUUAAGCAUCACUCUCUGAGAAAAUCACACUGUCCCUGCUUCGCCUGCAGCCAUAGCACCCCUCGUGCGAGGGGGGGGCGCAGCAUCAAUGUUGAUUGGUCACAGGCUGGCCAUUUCCUGCAACAACCAUGAUGCCGGCCCACCGCCCACACGAGCAUAGCACAGGCCCAAGCGCACAGCCCCGCCCAGCGACUACGCAUAGCGCAGGCACGCUUCUCAGUCUCGCCCUCUCAAAGGGCAGGCCAACUUUGCUGUUGCCCCCUUCAUCAUGUUCACAUUCAACAUCGUUCACUGUCUUCUACACAACAUUUGCUGUCUCUUAUUCUCGUCCUAUCAAGCCACCGUUCUAGUCACUUUCCAACCAACUUAAACACAUCAUCGUCUACUUCUCAAUUUCCCUAUUAUUCCUCAACAGCCUCCUGAACAGUCUCCAUUACUGAUUUCUUCCAUAGGACACACAUCUCACUCGCACUCAUACACACACCCAUUCAGGAGGAUCCUCUGCGCGCAUACACACACACCAGCACAAAAGGAUGACGCACAACAUAUAAUUGGUCAUUUGUCAAGAUAUUUUACAUUUUCUGGGUCGACCCAUUCCAUUAAUUUCCAAUGCUUGCAUUUUAGGUCAUGUCGGGGUAGAGAUUUUCGCUUACUAUUUAGGUUUCCCAUGGUUUAUCUUUCUAAAUUUUGGAGUUGGUAGUUUGAAUGACACCUACAGUGUCCUAAAACCAACUUUAUUCACAGGACAGUGGUUAAAAAUUCAACGUGUGGUAAGUCUCCUUUCACCUCCCCCGAAAGGAGCGGAGAGUUGUUGCCUCUACACCAGUGCUUCUCAAUUAUUUUCUGUUACGCCCCCCCCUACAAGAAGAAAACUAUUCGCGCCCCCCCUCCCCACCGUGACUAUCCUAACUUGUCUUGUAAGUCGUAAAAUGUUGCACUGUCCCAAACGUGACAGAAGUAACAAUGAGAGCGCCACUGCCCCCUGCUGUAGUAAACGCGAAAUUACACUUUAUUCUAGUACUGCCAAAAAAAAAGCCUGUUCCCCAGGGUCACACGCGCCCCCCCAGGAAUAGCACCGCGCCCCCCAAGGGGGGCGCGCCCCACUAUUUGAGAAGCACUGCUCUACACCAACACAAAGCCACCGUUUACAAUCCUGUGUGUUUAUAUAGAGGAGCGCUCAAAUGAGAUCACUCUCAGUCAAACCGUUCACAAGCAUACCACGCGCGUUUUUUAGGAAUAACAGAGGAGUCCGCCCCUCCCACUACGGAAUUUAACUAGCGUGAAAGCUAGGGGGCUCCACACCGGCCCCGCGGAAUUUAAAUGUUUUUAAUUGCACUUGAUAGAGUCUAGAACUUUCAAGGUUUUGAGUGACCUCUUGUCACUGCUCGUUUUAAGUGACCUCUUGUCACAGCUCAUUCAUUCCUUUUUAGUAGAAUUAAUAUUCCUACUCACGGUCUGCUGAUUCUCUUCCUCGGAAGAUCUCGUCAACCCUCCUGGUGUCCAGCCGGACUGAUCGAGACAGUCACGUCAAAGGGCUUUUGUUUACCUCGGCCGAGGAUUUUCGCCUGCGUCGAAGAGCCCGCUGGAACCGUUCAAGGCGUGUCGAGAUCCCGGACGAGCCCCAAUUUCUGUCAGGUUUAUUUUGAUGACUGAAUAACUAUUAAGAGAAGAGCAACAGCAAACAGACCACAAGUGAGACAGAAUCUUAAGUCUUUUCUCGCGAGGAGUGCAGUACAGAUCCUUCACCACAAUCUCACUACACUAAUUAUCUGUAUGCACUCCUGCUCUUUUUAUUUGGAUUUGCCCUACCCACAAAAUGAGACAAGCCCUCUAAAAGGGGAGGAGGGAAGCACGUGGGCUUUGUCUCGUAAGAAGAAAAAUCACAAGGUGUUACAUACUGAUAUGGAACAGUGUGAGAAAGAGUACGAGUGAUCAGCAACCAUUCUUUGUGUCUGUGAUGAAUUCAGGAAACAUGAGUGAUCAGCGAUCAUUGUUUGUGUCUGUGAUGAAAUCAGGAAACAUGAGUGAUCAGCAAUCAUUCUUUGUUGAAAAGGAACUGUCUUGGUAGAUGUCUUCAUUUUGCUGUGUCACUGAGUUGCCAGCUGCGUCCUGUCUGACCCAGCUGUAAUCUCUCUUCUGUGGUACAUCAUAAAAACAGCAAGGCCAAACAGCAAGCAUAUAUUGCAGUAAUAUUGCGGUAAAGCAUUGAUUAGAGAACGCAUGAUAACAUAUAUAUACAUUUUUCUAACAAGUCAUACUGAUUUGCAGGUAUGUAAUUUGUUGUGAGUUCAUGCUUUAUGUUGGUUUUGUUCUUUGAACAAGGUGAUGUUCAUGCCCGGCUCAUUUUGUGCACCAGUAAAAACCAUCUACCGUUUUUUUCCGUGUAUAGUGCGCAAAAUUUAACGAAUUUAUCGUCCUAAAAUCUGGGGUGCGCAUUAUACAUGGGUACAAAAAAAUAAAAAAAAAAAUUUUUAAUUUUUUUUUUUUUUUUUUUAGAAAACAAAACCAACAACAGGACUGACCGACAAAGUCGUGGAACAAAGAGACAGGGUGACAUUACCAAAGACAGGAACAGAAAGCAAACAGACAUCAUGACAGUAACACAUGCAAUGAUCCGACGGUGAGCGAGGGGCAGACAGGACUUAAAUACAAAACACGUUACAUCGAUUGAGGUGACACAGGAAGAGAGGGGCGACGCGAACAGAAACUAUGGCAACCUAGACACAUAGCAAAACUGGGGACGAGACAUGACAAAUCUCCCCCGAAAUAAAACUUGUAAUCACCUUUCUUCUUGUUUGUCAAUCGCGCAUCGCAUUCAGCCAUCCUGUCCCAACACACUUAGUCAAAAAAAUCCAUAAUUGAUGACACAUCGUUUGAUGCGAUGGUGCAAUCCUUGAUGGUGUGUUAUUGUCAAAUAUUGUUUGUUUUUUAAUCUCCAUCGCGGACCGGACGUCAUGCGGAAGCAGUAUGACUGCGCAUGCGCACUAUGGGUCAGCUGCGCAGAACGGAUGCGCAAGACACGUCAGCUAUUUACUAAUUAGCGAGAGUUCGGUUUAAUUAGCAGUUUCAUCAGAAUGGAUAAGAGAGCAAGUUAUACUGUAGCAUUUCGAAAGAAAGUCAUUGAAGUGGCAGAAGAAUUAGGCAAUAGGGCAGCUGCGCGCCAAUUUGAAGUCAAUGAGUCAAACAUAAGACUCUGGAGGAAGAAAAAAGAUCAAUUUGAUACAGCGAAGGCUUCAGCAAUAUAGUCCUCUUCUCUUCUUGACUGACAAUGAAUGUGAUAGUUUAAUACAAUCAGCAAAUAACAAAAUGCGUAUUACAGGUCGGUCAUAUUUUAUUUCACAACACUUUGCCUUGUUCCUUUCGUCUCUGCUGUUCACUUCAAACACGCUCCAUACGAGCGCAAUGCUCUCGUAUCAGACAAGGCUUGCUCGAUCACCUGCUCGUUUGCUGUCUGUCACAAUGUACCCUACACAAAUCCGAAACAUUUGUUGCGGCUCCGAGUCACGACGAGGGGCAAGUUUUGGUUUCCAAGGGUGUUUUUAUUCCUCUUCAACGUCUCUCCCAUACAGAGCCGCCUUUUUCACGUCCGCACUUCUCUUUCCCGUGCGCGCACGGAGCGCGGUGGUGCGUUUAUGGGCAGUCGGAGAAAUCAACGCCAACAAAAAAAAUUACAUACAGCCUAGUUAAGACCAUACCAAAGACUAUAAAAAUGGGACCCAUUGCCUCCCUGCGUGUGUGACGAUCAUUGGGACUUAAAAAAAAACAAAAAAAAAAACAAUUUCAUUAAAAAAAAAUUCAAAAAAAUUGCGUGCGUAUUAUACAUGGGUACAGGCUUUUUUCCAGCAUCAGCAUGCCAUUUUUAGGGUGCGUAUUAUACAUGGGGGCGCACUAUACACGGAAAAAAACGGUAUAUCUUGAAUUUGAAAAAAAUUAUUUUAACUAAAGAGGGGUUCGGUGAAUGCGCAUACGAAACUGGUGGGGUUCGGUACCUCCAACAUGUUUAAGAACCACUGUUAUAGAUGUAAGCUUGGUAUUGCUGAAUCAUAAUUAGUAAUUUCUCAUAUAUUAUCUAAAACCUGCUUCCAUGCAUGGCUAUAUCAAUUACUCAACCUACUUGACUUGAUUUUACAUAUUUACGUGUUAUUUGUAUAGAAGCGUCGCUAGCAAUAGUGUGAUACUUGUCUUUUUUUUGUGUACAUGGAUACAUGUUUAAAAAUCAUAUUUGCUACACAUUUAUUUGUAUUAAUCACACUAUGUGUGUAUGUACUACCGUAUGUGCGUGCAUUUUAUAGCUCUCGAAAAAUAAGUAGGGCUUCAAUAUACUCUUGACUUUUUAUCUUAUUGCUGCAGUGAUUGCUCCUAACGUGCGGCAGCAGCGGUCAGGUUGUGCGUGUAUUGCCCUGUGUCCUCUGAUUUAUCACCUGGGAACUGUGACGUAGGUGGGGUCUGGUUCAUACAAGCUGUUGCCUCAACACAUACAGACAACAACUGAAAUUGAUCUGCUGGAUGUUUGUUAUAUCUUUAAUCACUGGCUGUGCAUGUGUGUACUGUAUGUGCAUGAAUAAACAGUGUACAUACACAUGCACACAUGCACACGUUUCACUUGUUUCCAAAAAGAACACAUUCCUGUGCCAAAAGAAGCUGUACAGCCUCACCUGCAAAUGAAGAGUAAUAAAACUAAUGAUUACAUAAAAUUA
RNA transcript from Syngnathus typhle (broad-nosed pipefish), 12450 nucleotides. It is a transcript of the gene named PHD finger protein 14, with no coding region annotated. The transcript has 18 exons. The record is from RefSeq and is a predicted model, not a curated record. NCBI's taxonomy places the organism in Eukaryota, Metazoa, Chordata, Actinopteri, Syngnathiformes, Syngnathidae.